Molecule: ribosomal RNA, 893 nt
Filed under: uncultured bacterium
Lineage: Bacteria
Description: bacterial SSU rRNA
Rfam family: Bacterial small subunit ribosomal RNA
Source: RNAcentral
AACGCUAGCUACAGGCUUAACACAUGCAAGUCGAGGGGAAACGAUAGAGAAAGCUUGCUUUUUCUAGGCGUCGACCGGCGCACGGGUGAGUAACGCGUAUCCAACCUGCCCAUCACUUGGGGAUAACCUUGCGAAAGUAAGACUAAUACCCAAUGAGGUCUCUAGAAGACAUCUGAAAGAGAUUAAAGAUUUAUCGGUGAUGGAUGGGGAUGCGUCUGAUUAGCUUGUUGGCGGGGUAACGGCCCACCAAGGCGACGAUCAGUAGGGGUUCUGAGAGGAAGGUCCCCCACAUUGGAACUGAGACACGGUCCAAACUCCUACGGGAGGCAGCAGUGAGGAAUAUUGGUCAAUGGGCGAGAGCCUGAACCAGCCAAGUAGCGUGCAGGAUGACGGCCCUAUGGGUUGUAAACUGCUUUUAUAAGGGAAUAAAGUGGGAGUCGUGACUCCUUUUGCAUGUACCUUAUGAAUAAGGACCGGCUAAUUCCGUGCCAGCAGCCGCGGUAAUACGGAAGGUCCGGGCGUUAUCCGGAUUUAUUGGGUUUAAAGGGAGCGUAGGCCGGAGAUUAAGCGUGUUGUGAAAUGUAGACGCUCAACGUCUGCACUGCAGCGCGAACUGGUUUCCUUGAGUACGCACAAAGUGGGCGGAAUUCGUGGUGUAGCGGUGAAAUGCUUAGAUAUCACGAAGAACUCCGAUUGCGAAGGCAGCUCACUGGAGCGCAACUGACGCUGAAGCUCGAAAGUGCGGGUAUCGAACAGGAUUAGAUACCCUGGUAGUCCGCACGGUAAACGAUGGAUGCCCGCUGUUGGUCUGAAUAGGUCAGCGGCCAAGCGAAAGCAUUAAGCAUCCCACCUGGGGAGUACGCCGGCAACGGUGAAACUCAAAGGAAUUGACG